This 460-nucleotide ribosomal RNA is filed under the name uncultured bacterium. RNAcentral's name for it is "partial 16S ribosomal RNA". It matches the Rfam family "Bacterial small subunit ribosomal RNA", at positions 338 to 795 of the family's 1533-position model. The record is from RNAcentral.
CCUACGGGAGGCAGCAGUGAGGAAUAUUGGUCAAUGGCCGGAAGGCUGAACCAGCCAUGCCGCGUGAAGGUCAGUGCCCUAUGGGCGUUAAACUUCUUUUGUGCAGGAGCAAUAAUGGUCACGUGUGGCCAGACGAGAGUACCGUACGAAUAAGCAUCGGCUAACUCCGUGCCAGCAGCCGCGGUAAUACGGGGGAUGCAAGCGUUAUCCGGAUUUAUUGGGUUUAAAGGGUGCGUAGGCUGGGAGGUAAGUCAGCGGUGAAAUGCCCCCGCUCAACGGGGUGAAGUGCCAUUGAUACUGGCUUGCUUGAAUGCGGAUGUCGUGGGAGGAAUGUGUGGUGUAGCGGUGAAAUGCAUAGAUAUCACACAGAACACCGAUUGCGAAGGCAUCUCACGAAUCCGCGAUUGACGCUGAUGCACGAAAGCGUGGGUAUCAAACAGGAUUAGAUACCCUGGUAGUC